Molecule: non-coding RNA, 156 nt
Organism: Mesocricetus auratus (golden hamster)
Lineage: Eukaryota; Metazoa; Chordata; Mammalia; Rodentia; Cricetidae
Source: Rfam
AUACUUACCUGGAAGGGGAGAUACCAUGAUCAAGAAGGUGGGUUUCCCAGGGUAAGACUUAUCCAUUGUCAUGGCUUGUGCUGAUCCCUACGAUUUCCCCGAAUACUGGAAACUCGACUGCAUAUUUUGUGGUAGUAAGGAACUGCUCUCCCCUGG